This 739-nucleotide unclassified non-coding RNA is filed under the name Hevea brasiliensis (rubber tree). The record is from RNAcentral. Lineage: Eukaryota; Viridiplantae; Streptophyta; Magnoliopsida; Malpighiales; Euphorbiaceae.
GAAGAUUAUAAAUGGUAUAAAAUAACUGACUCUACGAAUACGCAAUCAUCACCAUCUGAAAUAAAAAUAACUACAGGUAUAUGAGCAUAAAGAAUUACGUCAAAAAAUAAUUGCUCUCUCCAAACUUUUUUCAUCUUAGAAGAGAUCUUGUCAAAUGUUCGCGCGCUGUUGCCAAUGCUUGAGUUAUUGUUUGUUCAGACAAGGGUGCUCCAUCAUCCAUGUUAUGACUCGAAACUUUUCCAGCAAUAGUAUUACCAUCAGUUUCAAGUACCAUCCCGCCAUCCACAAUCUCAUCAAGGCAUAGAAGAAUGAGAUCUAAAUUCUCAAGUGCCUCUCUCUGGUCAACAUUAUUCCUUAGGAGAAGGGUAACUGCAUCAUAGAAACCCUGAAGAACAGUGGCUAGAACUAGUUCAUUUUCAUCAUCACCCCCAGUGACAAAGAAAUGGAGGUCUUGCACAAACUUAUAGACAAUAAUGUUGUUCUCGAACAUUGUUAUUUCAGCUUCAGUCCGAGCAUUUGUCUUUUGAGUCUUGGUGAAAAUAGAUUUUUCGAACGCAACCUUAGCGUUGUUUGUCGGCCAGUCAUCAGAGUAGUAUUUAACAGCUACACGCUUUCCUUCCGAAUCCAAAAGAAGUAUGUUCUUCACCACAGGACAAGAAUCAUAAUUUAGAAGGAAACCCGCCAUUGAUGAAAUAGCGAUUCACCGCCGGAAUUUUUCUUUUUGUUGAUUUGCAGUGAA